This 72-nucleotide transfer RNA is filed under the name Allobates aff. tapajos 3 AR-2020. RNAcentral's name for it is "tRNA-Thr". It matches the Rfam family "tRNA". Rfam says of the family: Transfer RNA (tRNA) molecules are approximately 80 nucleotides in length. Their secondary structure includes four short double-helical elements and three loops (D, anti-codon, and T loops). Further hydrogen bonds mediate the characteristic L-shaped molecular structure. tRNAs have two regions of fundamental functional importance: the anti-codon, which is responsible for specific mRNA codon recognition, and the 3' end, to which the tRNAs corresponding amino acid is attached (by aminoacyl-tRNA synthetases). tRNAs cope with the degeneracy of the genetic code in two manners: having more than one tRNA (with a specific anti-codon) for a particular amino acid; and 'wobble' base-pairing, i.e. permitting non-standard base-pairing at the 3rd anti-codon position. The record is from RNAcentral. Lineage: Eukaryota; Metazoa; Chordata; Amphibia; Anura; Aromobatidae.
GCUCUAAUAGCUUAAACUUCAAAGCACUGGUCUUGUAAACCAGAGACUGAAGCUCAAAACCUUCUUAGAGCU